Molecule: long non-coding RNA, 1122 nt
Organism: Tachysurus fulvidraco (yellow catfish)
Lineage: Eukaryota; Metazoa; Chordata; Actinopteri; Siluriformes; Bagridae
Exons: 3
Source: RefSeq, a predicted model, not a curated record
GUGACUUCAAACUGAGAUUCAAGCCGUGAUCAAUAAAAAAUAUAUUAACUAUAACUAUAGUCUCUCUCAAUAUUUAUUUUUACAUUUUAAUAUUUUUAUAUAAAUGAGGCUUUAUUCAAUUAAAAAUGCAGAAGUGUAUAUAUUAACCAAACAACAACAAUAACAAAAAAAUCUCAGAUUUUAUUUUGAUUGAACUUACAUUUUUAUUUGACUUUGAUUUGAUCUACAUUUGAGUUUAUGUCGAUGUCCUUCUAAUUUCCUCUUAUAUUUUUGCUUUGAUUUUGUGUUUAUUUAUUAUGCUUUCUGUAGUUAUUCAUCUUGGGGUGUUUAUCUUUAAUCCAUAGCCAGGGUGUCCUCAGUGAAACUGUCCUACAGCUACUUGUUCUCUGACGUCAGGAAAGUGUUCUGUUCUGCUGAUGGAGACAACCUGCACUUCAGCUGGACUUCUGAAUCAAUCACUCGGUUGGAGGACGACAACAAAACUCUCGUACUGGAUAAAAUGCAUAAUGAAAAAGUAACCUGUCAUGUCAAAAAUCAUGUCAAUCGAGACUACAAUUCAAUUGAACUGCCAAAGUUUACCAGUCUCACUGUGUUUGUGUUUUUGUGGGUCUUUGAAGUCAUCAUCCUGAUGUCUGCAUUAGUGGGCACACUGUACAUUUACCCCAGAAUCUACAGAAAAAUGAGGACACCAGAGAGACCAGGAAGCUCUGUAACCCUUGACAAGGAUUAGAAGAGGCAGUCUGUGGCUGAUCUCCUCUAGUCGAGCAGCCAUUGUUCUCCGUCUCAUCCAGACUAAAACCUGAUAAAACUGUAACCAUUACCAUAACAGUGUUACAGUGCUAUCUGCUUACCGACCUUGCUAUUGCUAUCUGUUUUGCAUUGUUUGCUCUGUGUUUUAAAAAAUUAAAUCAUCCUCAUGAUUUCUGCAAUUUCCUUUGAAACUGAGUGCUAAUUUUAUUUGUUUUACUUAUAAUAUUUAAACACCACUGUAAUGAUGUGAUGCUACAGUAGCAACAAUUUAAUAAAAUAUUAAAUAUUUUUGAAAUGUAAAUCUAAUUUCUAAGUCCUAUGUCUAAAUGUGUGAAUGCUGAAUUAAAAUCUGUUUUAGUUAUUAUUAAUGAU